AGCAACAAGAGUUCAAAAUGUGUUAUCGACGACACACGUCUGGCCUUCCUCUCCAGCUUUUGGACUGAGAUGUCUCAUGAAAGGCACGAGAUCCCACAGUCUAGGAAAAACCUCCAAUCCAGUUUCCCAAGGAGAGUAAAACUCUCUGACAACGAGGAAGGGCACCAUACACAAGGAUGUGAGAAGGCUUGCCCUGGGAACCCAGGCACCAUGUUGUGCAGCAGCCCAGGCCACAUGGAGAAGCCAGGUGUGGGUACUCCAGACAAUAGCCCCCAGCCCACAUCAGCAUCAUCUACCAGAUGUGUGAGUGAAUCAGCCCUCAUGUGUUCCUGCCUGGCCUUCAGUCUUCCAGCCGUGCCCAGACAUGGUGGAGCCAAUGGCACCCUGUCUCCAUUUAUGAUCCACAGAAACCGUCCCUGCUGUGUUGUGACCUGGUCUCCAGCUCUCCAGCUGCAGUGUUGAAUUCAUUACCUGGGACUCACAUGAGAAAAGGGAGUUUGAGCAGCCUGAAUACUAUGGUUCUGAUGCCUUGAGAGUCUGGUUUUGUUUCUACUUUUUCUAUGGCUGCAGUCAGAAGAGAAUUCACAGGGCUACACGGAGGUACAGCUCAGGAAAAGCAUGCAGACGGCAGCUCAACUAGCUGAUCGCUGAUGUCCGGGAGCAGCAGCAGCAAUGGAAACACACCACAACUUUUCCCAAAUGUGCCUGGCCAGUAUGCCACUGUCAUCUUUGCCAGCAGAACCUUCAGUUCCAGGACUGGGCUGUGACUCAUGCAGCGAGAGGCACUCCUUGUGAGCCAGGGCAAUGGGGCCAAGAGAGAGGGGACCAACGGGAUGGGGUUCUCUGUAGAUCUCCUACCUACGGCGGCUCCUCUUGUGAGAACACCUGGGCACCUUGAUUCAGCUCGGUUCCCAUAUUCUCUUCGCUGAAAUCAGAGCUUUUGGUAAGGCUAGUGGUUCCUCCCAGAAAGGCCGACAGCUCAAUGUCUGCUACUGCCCGGCUUUGUUUGAAGAUGCCUCGCUUGACUGCCAGCCCCCUGGUGAGCCCCUCAGUGAUUUUCCUCCCAAAGGAGACGCCAACACAGAGAACACCCAUUCCCCACCCCCACCCCCAAAAUACAUUCUGCCAGGGUAGGGGAGAAACCUUUUCAUAUUGAGGCUACCGUUCCUGUCCUCUUCACCACAAAAAUUCGCUGAAAUGGACACAUAGAAAGCCAUUGACUCCCUCGCCAUCGACAUUUUAUUGUGAAAAUUUCCAAACAUAAAAGAGAUGUUGAAAGAAUUACGCAGCGAGCACCCAUCUAUCUACCACUUAGAUUCUGCAAUUAACAUUUUGCUGGAUUUGCUUUCCUUAUAAUAUAUUCUUCUAUCUCUCCAAGCCACUGAUAUCUGAGGCUUUUUAAAAGCCUGGUUUAAAUAUUCAACUCAUUUGCUUUGAAAACUUCAGACAGGAAACUUAACGCCUUGUUUAAUGAGCACAGAAUAAUUUAGAUCCAUUCCAAAUUAGGCUAGGAGGGAGGGAGGUGAGAAAAAAGGUUAGAGGAAAAUGGAGAGGGAGAAUGUGGCUUUGGGAAGGCAAAGGGAGGGUGAGAGAGAUGAGAAGAAUGGGCCAGGAGGGAGGGGUGUGAAGACACAGGAAAAGAGUCUCAGGGCUUGCAAAUGAGUGCAGGUCAGAUGGAGAGCUGGGGUGUGGAUGUUGUGUACCCAGGCAGCAGCUGCCACAUGGUACGGAUGCUGCUGGGGCCCAGACCAGCUCCCAGCACUGAGCACACCUGUUGACCUCCCCCUGCCAUGGUCAGGACUGCCACAGGCAGCUACCCCAGGACUCCACAUGGAGCGCAGGUGUCAUCACAGACUUCCCAGGUCAGGGGAUCCACCACUGUCAAAUGGAAGAGAUCUAGGAUUUGAACCCCACCCCUGUUAUUUACUCCUGACACACAAGACCUUGGACAGUUAUUUAAUCUCUCUGAGAUGCUCUACUUUCAUUCAUUAAAUGGGCAUAUUAAGAAUAUAAAACUCUGAUAGUCAUUCUAAGUGAAGUAAGUCAGAAGGAGAAAGACAAAUACCAUAUGAUAUCACUUAUAUGUGGAAUCUAAAAAAAGUGACACAAAUGAGCUUAUCCACAAAACAGAAACAGACUCACAGACAUAGAGAAUAAACUUAUGGUUACCAAGGGGUAAAGGGAACUGAAAGGGAUAAAUUGGAAAUUUGAAAUUUGCACCU
Molecule: long non-coding RNA, 2222 nt
Organism: Camelus dromedarius (Arabian camel)
Lineage: Eukaryota; Metazoa; Chordata; Mammalia; Artiodactyla; Camelidae
Exons: 4
Source: RefSeq, a predicted model, not a curated record